This 440-nucleotide ribosomal RNA is filed under the name uncultured bacterium. Its description in RNAcentral is "partial 16S ribosomal RNA". It matches the Rfam family "Bacterial small subunit ribosomal RNA", at positions 338 to 795 of the family's 1533-position model. The record is from RNAcentral.
CCUACGGGAGGCUGCAGUGGGGGAUAUUGCACAAUGGGGGGAACCCUGAUGCAGCGACGCCGCGUGGGUGAAGAAGCGCCUCGGCGCGUAAAGCCCUGUCAGCAGGGAAGAAAAUGACGGUACCUGAAGAAGAAGCCCCGGCUAACUACGUGCCAGCAGCCGCGGUAAUACGUAGGGGGCAAGCGUUAUCCGGAUUUACUGGGUGUAAAGGGGGCGCAGACGGCGAUGCAAGCCAGGAGUGAAAGCCCGGGGCCCAACCCCGGGACUGCUCUUGGAACUGCGGGGCUGGAGUGCAGGAGGGGCAGGCGGAAUUCCUGGUGUAGCGGUGGAAUGCGUAGAUAUCAGGAGGAACACCGGUGGCGAAGGCGGCCUGCUGGACUGCAACUGACGUUGAGGCCCGAAAGCGUGGGGAGCAAACAGGAUUAGAUACCCUAGUAGUC